Pseudophryne corroboree (corroboree frog) is the source of this 590-nucleotide long non-coding RNA. RefSeq lists it as uncharacterized. NCBI's taxonomy places the organism in Eukaryota, Metazoa, Chordata, Amphibia, Anura, Myobatrachidae. The transcript is spliced from 3 exons. The record is from RefSeq and is a predicted model, not a curated record.
CACAUAUCCCGGAAAGACGGUGGAACGCACAUACAGCAAGUUAUGGAACGCAUAUCCUUUUUGUGUGGUGGAACGCAAGAAAAGCGGAAGGAACGUACCGGAAGUGGGGUGUGUAAUUUCCUCUUCUUGGGAACGGACGCCGUGUGGCCGGGGAGGGGGAGUAUAUAGAGGAACACAGGAGUCUGUACAAGGACGUGAUGAUGGAGAAUCACCGGCCCCUCUCAUCACUGGAUGGACCCAGUAACAGAGAUACCCCAGAGAGAUGUCCCCGUCCUCUGUAUUCCCAGGACUGUACAGAGGAGAGUCACAGGAUCCCACAGGAGGAUCAGCUAGGUGGCAAAAUAUUAAAAAUGAUAUACAGGUUGAGUAUCCCAUAUCCAAAUAUUCCGAAAUACGGAAUAUUCCGAAAUACGGACUUUUUUGAGUGAGAGUGAGAAAGUGAAACCUUUGUUUUCUGAUGGCUCAAUGUACACAAACUUUGUCUAAUACACAAAGUUAUUAAAAUUAUUGUAUUAUAAGACCUUCAGGCUGUGUGUAUAAGGUGUAUAUGAAACAUAAAUGAAUUGUGUGAAUGUACACACACUUUGUUU